AGUGAACGCUGGCGGUAGGCCUAACACAUGCAAGUCGAACGGCAGCACAGUAAGAGCUUGCUCUUACGGGUGGCGAGUGGCGGACGGGUGAGGAAUACAUCGGAAUCUACUUUUUCGUGGGGGAUAACGUAGGGAAACUUACGCUAAUACCGCAUACGACCUACGGGUGAAAGCAGGGGAUCUUCGGACCUUGCGCGAUUGAAUGAGCCGAUGUCGGAUUAGCUAGUUGGCGGGGUAAAGGCCCACCAAGGCGACGAUCCGUAGCUGGUCUGAGAGGAUGGUCAGCCAGACUGUAACUGAGACACGGUCCAGACUCCGACGGGAGGCAGCAGUGGGGAAUAUUGGACAAUGGGCGCAAGCCUGAUCCAGCCAUACCGCGUGGGUGAAGAAGGCCUUCGGGUUGUAAAGCCCUUUUGUUGGGAAAGAAAAGCAGCAGGUUAAUACCCCGCUGUUCUGACGGUACCCAAAGAAUAAGCACCGGCUAACUUCGUG
Molecule: ribosomal RNA, 492 nt
Filed under: uncultured bacterium
Lineage: Bacteria
Description: partial 16S ribosomal RNA
Rfam family: Bacterial small subunit ribosomal RNA
Source: RNAcentral